GAACAACGACUAGGCUCUAGCAGAAUUGCCUUUGCCUUGCAAGAUUUUUUGUAUUUCUGGCCGCUUCGUCGACUCCAUUAAUUGUCGGUACCGGAGAGAAGGGGACUCCAGAAGCGGAAGCGCUUCGAGUAUACGACGAUGUGGCAGCGGUGAAGAGCACAGUAUAUUUGUUUGAUUGUGGCCUGUGGCAUGCAUGCGUCUCUGCGGCUGAACAUUGUAAGGAGGAUGUUCUGUGGGAUGGUUAUUCUUUGAAUUUCACUGCGCCAACGUUUUUGGUGGAGACGUUGUGCGUCCAGUCCCCUGUCUUGUAAGAAGCACCACAUUACUGUGUAUAACACAUGUUAGAGAUUGUUAACCACUUCAAUGAAACUAAAAUAGGUGGUUGGCAACAAUGCUGAAAUUUCAGGACUUUCACA
Molecule: non-coding RNA, 416 nt
Organism: Oryza sativa Japonica Group (Japanese rice)
Lineage: Eukaryota; Viridiplantae; Streptophyta; Magnoliopsida; Poales; Poaceae
Source: RefSeq, a predicted model, not a curated record